CGGCACGCCUAAUACAUGCAAGUCGAACGAGAAAGCACCUCGGUGUGAGUACAGUGGCGGACGGGUGAGUAACGCGUAGGAAUCUACCUAGUAGUGGGGGACAACUCGGGGAAACUCGAGCUAAUACCGCAUACGCUCUAAGGAGGAAAGUGGGGGACCUUUGGGCCUCACGCUAUUAGAGGAGCCUGCGUUAGAUUAGCUAGUUGGUGAGGUAAAGGCUCACCAAGGCUACGAUCUAUAGCUGGUCUGAGAGGACGAUCAGCCACACUGGAACUGAGACACGGUCCAGACUCCUACGGGAGGCAGCAGUAGGGAAUCUUGGGCAAUGGGCGAAAGCCUGACCCAGCGAUGCCGCGUGUGCGAAGAAGGCCUUAGGGUUGUAAAGCACUUUCAGUUGCGAAGAAAAGCUGCGAUUUAAUACAUCGCGGUCUUGACGUUAACAACAGAAGAAGUACCGGCUAA
Molecule: ribosomal RNA, 462 nt
Filed under: uncultured Gammaproteobacteria bacterium
Lineage: Bacteria; Pseudomonadati; Pseudomonadota; Gammaproteobacteria
Description: bacterial SSU rRNA
Rfam family: Bacterial small subunit ribosomal RNA
Source: RNAcentral